Molecule: ribosomal RNA, 253 nt
Filed under: uncultured bacterium
Lineage: Bacteria
Description: partial 16S ribosomal RNA
Rfam family: Bacterial small subunit ribosomal RNA
Source: RNAcentral
UACGAAGGGGGCUAGCGUUGCUCGGAAUCACUGGGCGUAAAGCGCACGUAGGCGGCUUGUUAAGUCAGGGGUGAAAUCCUGGAGCUCAACUCCAGAACUGCCUUUGAUACUGGCGAUCUUGAGUCCGGGAGAGGUGAGUGGAACUGCGAGUGUAGAGGUGAAAUUCGUAGAUAUUCGCAAGAACACCAGUGGCGAAGGCGGCUCACUGGCCCGGUACUGACGCUGAGGUGCGAAAGCGUGGGGAGCGAACAGG